AAUUGUCCACAUGUUUAAGUUUUGAUGGACGUGUUGUCGAUGGUAUUUGAAUGAUAUAAAUAUGGCCUAUCUAACAAUUUAAGCUAUUAGAUCAAAUGGUUCAACAAUAAUGAUUGCUGCUGUUAUUUUCCAAUUAGAUUCAGCACCUUUCAUAAAGAGAAGUUUUCUAACCUCUUUCAAAAUUCCAAAAUGUGAAAGAAGAAUUGUUUUAUAAGUUCAAAAUCAACAAAGAAUUUAAAGUUUUCUGAACAUGCAAGUGAGGGUCUUCAAUUACAAGAGAAGUUCACAGGGAGAGGUGGUCCAUAAUUUGAUCAAGAACAAACCAUUUUUGAUAUGUGCCACUCCUCUUGCUAGUGAGCACUCAUGUACCAUUAAAGAUUAAGAAGCAAAAUGGAUCAAAAGAAAGAGGAGGUAACAAAGUUAAAAUCAUGAAGUUGGUAAGAAGCAAAAGGGAAGAAAUUACUGCCUGAAGUUGGCCUUGGGCCUUCUUUGAAUCUGAAUUAUAUAAUCCUUUUUUCAUUUAGGGAAUAGAAUCCUUUCUUGAAAGUCAUUUUGAGUUCCCCAAAAGGAUUUCUCCAGUUGUCAAUUACUAUAACUUGCACAAACAGCAAACAGGCAUUCUCUUUGUUGGCCACUGUAUACAUCUACAGGGUACUUGAUCCCCUGAAGUUGGCAUUUGGUAUGCAAGAGCAUAUGCACAGUAUAGGAAUGGACUUGUGAAAUGAAUGUAGAUGGGAAUGAAAUGCAAUAGACAUGGGAUAUCUCAUGUUUGGUUUGUCUAGGAAUAAGAACAGCAAUGGGAUCAGGUUCCACAAUUUUGAUUUCUUAUAUUUGGUCUGUUAUGAAGUAUGGUAAUGAAAUACAGAUGGUGAAAUGGCUAUGCAUACCUUACUGAAAUUUUAUUUUAAGCAUUAAUUCAUGUAAUUGGGAAAAUAAUGUCACAUGUCAGAAUUUGAGAACACUUUGCAUUCCAGAUUAUCUAGAUGCUUACGCUGGAUGGAAUGCCAUGAGCCUACUCGAUAUCUUCCUUGCCUGCUUCACUAGAGGGGGAAAAAAUAGGGAGAUGAAGAUAAAUAUUUUUGAAUCUUUCUUCUGUCAAUGGUUGAACCUUCUUGCCCCUGCUUCUACAAGAAGAAGAAGAGAAGCCUAAUCAGACACUAAACUAGAGUUACCUUACUGAAGACUCAAAAGAAAAUUUUGAAGAUGCGGUGUUGAAAUUUGUUAAAAACGGGGGUUCCAUUUUUGUGAAAGAGACCAUAAUUAUAAACCCCACCAAAAUGAGAGCAGUAUCUACGAUAUAGGAUGAAGUGAAUAUAAAUAUUAUUUCAUUCAUUUGAUUGAUGAAAGUGAAUAUAAAUAUUAUUUCAUUCAUUUGAUUGAUGUAUUUCAUCAUCAGUUCUUCUCCUUUUCGGUAUCUUUGUAACAGCUCAUGUUAUUUGUUGUUUAGGACUGUGGAGAAGUAACAACCAAUGACGUUGU
This 1479-nucleotide long non-coding RNA is filed under the name Olea europaea (common olive). Its description in RNAcentral is "long non-coding RNA (OEUR_LNC012267)". The record is from RNAcentral. Lineage: Eukaryota; Viridiplantae; Streptophyta; Magnoliopsida; Lamiales; Oleaceae.